Molecule: ribosomal RNA, 274 nt
Filed under: uncultured prokaryote
Description: partial 16S ribosomal RNA
Rfam family: Bacterial small subunit ribosomal RNA
Source: RNAcentral
UACGUAGGGGGCGAGCGUUGUCCGGAUUUACUGGGCGUAAAGGGUGAGUAGGCGGUUGUAUAUGUCAGGUGUAAAAGGCUAUGGCUUAACCAUGGUUAGCACUUGAAACUGUACAACUUGAGUGCAGGAGAGGUAAGUGGAAUUCCUAGUGUAGCGGUGAAAUGCGUAGAUAUUAGGAGGAACACCAGCGGCGAAGGCGACUUACUGGACUGUAACUGACGCUGAGUCACGAAAGCGUGGGUAGCAAACAGGAUUAGAUACCCUGGUAGUCCCU